CACGUAUGGGGCGAGCGUUGUUCGGAAUUAUUGGGCGUAAAGGGUGCGCAGGCGGUUCAACAAGUCUGGUGUUAAAUCCCACAGCUUAACUGUGGACAGGCAUUGGAAACUGUUGGACUAGAGUUCUGGAGGGGUAGCUGGAAUUCCAGGUGUAGGGGUGAAAUCUGUAGAUAUCUGGAAGAACAUCAAUGGCGAAGGCAAGCUACUGGCCAUGAACUGACGCUGAGGCACGAAAGUAUGGGGAGCAAACAGG
RNAcentral lists this ribosomal RNA (253 nucleotides) under uncultured bacterium. Its description in RNAcentral is "partial 16S ribosomal RNA". It matches the Rfam family "Bacterial small subunit ribosomal RNA", at positions 524 to 776 of the family's 1533-position model. The record is from RNAcentral.